AUUUGCUUGCAGUUUAAACAUAAUGUCGAACAUGUUGAUUCACAGACUGUAGGUACUCAAGUAGUUAUCGUACACAGAGAGGGUGAGUUUGAUGCCAGUGUGCUUUUGAAAUGUAAAAAAACAACCUGAUUGUGAGCAUUUAUCUGCACGUCACACAGGCAACUUCAUUCAGCCGGGUUUUAUUUGAGAUGUGGCCCUUUUUGGCAGUGUAGGGACGACUGGAGUUCAGACACAGAGGCUUUUAAGACACAAUGCAUUAUGGGAAUCGAACUCUUGGGUAAAAAUAAUCGACGGACCUUCAAAAAUGAACAAUGAAGAAAGAAACUCAGAGAUGGUAAUCGGUAACUUGGAACCCACUUGAAGUCCCUAAAUAUCAGCUGUGAUUCCCUAAAAGGCAGAGCAGGUGUUUCCUGGUCGUACUGAUCCUGGUUAGCUGUAAUCCUGUGUGAUUUCUGUGUUCUUUGCUUUUAUUGUUUACCUUCCUGGUUCUGACUUCUACCUUUACCUGAUUUUUGGAUUAGAGAUUGUUGGACUUAAUCCUUUUCUUGUGUUUCGUGUCAAACGAUUGUCUUCCUGUCUGUUUUGAGCCAGUAAUGUUACACAGAGUUAACUGGUAUCAAUGUGUUAUCUAUUUAAGUCUGACUGACUCAUUAAAUGACAUUGUCGUAAAAAUAAAUGAAGAUUGUUGACCUCA
Notolabrus celidotus (New Zealand spotty) is the source of this 694-nucleotide long non-coding RNA. RefSeq lists it as uncharacterized. The record is from RefSeq and is a predicted model, not a curated record. NCBI's taxonomy places the organism in Eukaryota, Metazoa, Chordata, Actinopteri, Labriformes, Labridae. The transcript is spliced from 2 exons.